This 246-nucleotide ribosomal RNA is filed under the name uncultured bacterium. Its description in RNAcentral is "partial 16S ribosomal RNA". It matches the Rfam family "Bacterial small subunit ribosomal RNA", at positions 14 to 252 of the family's 1533-position model. The record is from RNAcentral.
GUAUCCUGGCUCAGGAUGAACGCUAGCGGCAGGCCUAACACAUGCAAGUCGAGGGGCAGCGGGGAUUGAGCUUGCUCAAUUUGCCGGCGACCGGCGCACGGGUGCGUAACGCGUAUGUAACCUACCCUGAACUGGGGAAUAACACUGAGAAAUCGGUACUAAUACCCCAUAAUACACUGGAAGGCAUCUUUUGGUGUUGAAAGCUCCGGCGGUUCAAGAUGGACAUGCGUUGUAUUAGCUAGUUGG